CUGGGCGGAUUAGUGGCGAACGGGUGAGUAAUACGUGAGUAACCUGCCCUUGACUCUGGGAUAAGCCUGGGAAACUGGGUCUAAUACUGGAUACUACCGUCCACCGCAUGGUGGGUGGUGGAAAGGGUUUUACUGGUUUUGGAUGGGCUCACGGCCUAUCAGCUUGUUGGUGGGGUAAUGGCUCACCAAGGCGACGACGGGUAGCCGGCCUGAGAGGGUGACCGGCCACACUGGGACUGAGACACGGCCCAGACUCCUACGGGAGGCAGCAGUGGGGAAUAUUGCACAAUGGGCGGAAGCCUGAUGCAGCGACGCCGCGUGAGGGAUGACGGCCUUCGGGUUGUAAACCUCUUUCAGUAGGGAAGAAGCGAGAGUGACGGUACCUGCAGAAGAAGCGCCGGCUAACUACGUGCCAGCAGCCGCGGUAAUACGUAGGGCGCAAGCGUUGUCCGGAAUUAUUGGGCGUAAAGAGCUCGUAGGCGGUUUGUCGCGUCUGCUGUGAAAGCCCGGGGCUCAACCCCGGGUCUGCAGUGGGUACGGGCAGACUAGAGUGCAGUAGGGGAGACUGGAAUUCCUGGUGUAGCGGUGAAAUGCGCAGAUAUCAGGAGGAACACCGAUGGCGAAGGCAGGUCUCUGGGCUGUUACUGACGCUGAGGAGCGAAAGCAUGGGGAGCGAACAGGAUUAGAUACCCUGGUAGUCCAUGCCGUAAACGUUGGGC
This 719-nucleotide ribosomal RNA is filed under the name Actinomycetes bacterium. Its description in RNAcentral is "bacterial SSU rRNA". It matches the Rfam family "Bacterial small subunit ribosomal RNA", at positions 83 to 814 of the family's 1533-position model. The record is from RNAcentral. Lineage: Bacteria; Bacillati; Actinomycetota; Actinomycetes.